RNAcentral lists this long non-coding RNA (1043 nucleotides) under Fukomys damarensis (Damara mole-rat). RNAcentral describes it as "lncRNA (ENSFDAG00000032863.1)". The record is from RNAcentral. Lineage: Eukaryota; Metazoa; Chordata; Mammalia; Rodentia; Bathyergidae.
GAGAUAGCGUUAUCCAUCCACCCUCUAGCUUUCUUUAGCCACCCUCGCUGCUGUAUUUCUCUCCGCGCCUCGUGUUGCCAUGUGACAUAUUGAUUUAUUUGCUCUUUCUACUUCUAUCUUGCCUGCAGUGUACAGUCACGAUGGCAGGGACACUCUCUCCUGUUUAUACUGUUUCUGUUACGCUGGCAAAUAAUAAGCACUCAGUGAGAGGGAGGGGUGAAAAAGAAGGGAGAGGAGGAGGAGGAGGAAGGGGGAAGGGAAAGGAAAGGGGGGAGGAUGGGAAGGAGAAAGAAAAGAAACAAGGGAAGGAAGUAGGGAGGGUGAGUGCUGACUCAGCCACCCACUUCCUGGUCACGUGACCAUAAGUCACUUUGCUCCUGGGUCAGUUUUUUCCUCCCUACACUGCAGAGUUUAGAUCCAUCAAUCACUCCCGGCACUCAUGGUCCAUCAUUCCGUGCAUCGUGAUUCUGUUUCUUUUGAUUGCAGGUACAAUAAGAAGAUAGUCUCCACGGGUCCAUGCUUGCCUGGCAAGCACAAGGUCCUGAGUUCAAUUCCCAGUACCAGAAAACACAAGAACAACAAACAGAUAGUGGCAGGAGGAAGAGCCUCUCACAUCAGUGGGCUUUGUACUUCAUUGUCACAACUACUAGUGAGCUGGGAACCACAAAUCUCACCCGCUAGUCAGGAGAAAGCCAGGCGGAUAUCACGCAGCACCUCAUGUCAAAAUCACCACAGCCCUUGCCAAGGAGAGAACCUACUUCCCUGUGCAGCAGAGAGGACCAUCGGGUGCUGGCUCUUAAUUCCUGGCUCAGCCAAGCAACUUAACAGUGAUGGUCAACGUUAUUUUGCAAAAGCCAGGAAAGCACUGAAAUCUAAGGCGCUGUCCAGUCAUUCAUCAAGACUCAGUGAAAACACUGCUUCUGUAUCUAAAAUGCAGACAUCUUCUGUAUAAACAAGGGAUUUUUUUUUCACUGUGUACAGAACUUUCACUUUAGUGAUUACAGCAUCUUCAAAACUGAAAGACUGCCAAGGAAAAGGGGUGG